RNAcentral lists this microRNA precursor (84 nucleotides) under Heterocephalus glaber (naked mole-rat). RNAcentral describes it as "mir-3661 microRNA precursor family". It matches the Rfam family "mir-3661 microRNA precursor family". The record is from Rfam by way of RNAcentral. Lineage: Eukaryota; Metazoa; Chordata; Mammalia; Rodentia; Bathyergidae.
CUCGCAGAGGCUCUUAACCUGGGAUUCGGACAGCUGCUUGCACUCAUUCAGCUGCUCGAUCCACUGGUCCAGCUCCUUGGUGAA